GCAAGACUUCGCUGAGUACUUCUUUGUGGAGUACGACGACAACGGGAAACCAAACUGCAUCAGCCGUUGCGAGCCGAACUUCAACAGGUCCCUCAACUGCAACCAUGGGACGUGCCAGCUGGACCGCAGCGGCCCUCGGUGCUACUGCCUGAUCACAGACACUGAAUGGUACAGCGGGGAGACGUGUGAAUUCAGCACCAAGAAGAGCCUGGUGUACGGGCUCCUCGGGGCGGCAGGCGCAGUGGUGCUGAUCAUCCUCGCCAUCCUCCUGAUGUUCAUCUUCCGCUCCAGAAGGCAGGUGGAAAGGCAAAAGUCCAAAGUGGCUCAGUUGUACAAGUGGCAUGAAGAGGAUGGUGGGCCAGCCCCUGGGACCUUCCAGAACAUUGGCUUUGACAUCUGUGAAGAACAAGAGAACUAUAUCCGCCUUGACUCCAUCUAUAGUAACUUCCAGCCCGCCCUGGGCCACAUAGACUCUGAAACAAAGAUCAGAAUUAAGAGGCCUCAGGUGAUCAUGACAUCGAUUUAAGGCAAAGACAGUUUCGCACGGAACUCUGGGGUCUGGAAGUGAGUUCGACUAAGCUUGGUGGAGCAUUUCCCCAUCACGAGCAUUCCACGGGAACUGAUGAGAAACAACACCUACCAGCACUUACCUAGGAGGAAAAGGAGAGAGACCACAGUGCUGGGGAACGCUCAAAUAAAAGCACCGUGGAAGCUCCUGUGGGCUUGUCAUGAUCUCAGGCGAGGUCCUCCCGCUCAUUCCAGGGAGAUUCUUCCUCCCGACGGCCCUGCUUCAGCACCAAGGACAGCGCCCGAAUCAACUCGUUUACCCGGAGAGAUUGCUUACACUGGACUGAACUUGAUACAAAAUGCUUUUGCAAGAUUUAUUGCAUCUCAUCUUCAUAACAAACAUGAGUUUUUAAGUAUACGGCAUUUUUCUUUGAGUAUACAGGAUUGUAUAUUGUUAACUGUUUUUUAUCUACAGGUUCUGAUUUUUUGUUAGUGAAUAUAAUCGUAUAUAUUUCUAAUGUAUAUAAAUAAGAAACUAAU
This 1047-nucleotide long non-coding RNA is filed under the name Equus asinus (donkey). RNAcentral describes it as "lncRNA (ENSEASG00005029384.1)". The record is from RNAcentral. Lineage: Eukaryota; Metazoa; Chordata; Mammalia; Perissodactyla; Equidae.